ACUGUCGUUCCAAGCAUCACAAGAUAAUGUUGAAAACCAAGAAGGAUGGCCUCGGCUGCAUCAUGUACACACCAAAAUGCCAACAGAUUAGUUGCAAUUUUUUACUACCACUGUACAAAUGCCAGCAAUAAUGGAGUUAUUACCUAAUAGCCAAGUGAAGGCGUAUCCACAACAGUUAUUUAUCUUCAAACAACAUCAAAACAAUAAAUGAAAAUUUUCCUCAAUUUGUUUGAAGUAGAGAGUGAACACCCCAGAGAAAAUUGAAGAUAAUUGGGGGGAUGGGUUGUGGUUUGGGUGAAAGACAAAUAGAAAAUGCCAAUUAGAAGAGGUAAAUGCUUAACAAAAUUGAACCAAAAGGAGUCAAUUAACAGAGAGAAGUUGGCUUCAGAUUGACUUUAACCAAAUCAAUAAGCAGAUGACUUAGAAUACCGU
Molecule: long non-coding RNA, 432 nt
Filed under: Theobroma cacao (cacao)
Lineage: Eukaryota; Viridiplantae; Streptophyta; Magnoliopsida; Malvales; Malvaceae
Description: long non-coding RNA (TCAC_LNC001491)
Source: RNAcentral